Molecule: ribosomal RNA, 250 nt
Filed under: uncultured bacterium
Lineage: Bacteria
Description: partial 16S ribosomal RNA
Rfam family: Bacterial small subunit ribosomal RNA
Source: RNAcentral
UACGUAGGGGGCUAGCGUUGUCCGGAUUUAUUGGGCGUAAAGAGCGCGUAGGCGGCCAGGUAAGUCCGACGUGAAAUCUGGAGGCUCAACCUCCAGCGGUCGUUGGAAACUACCUGGCUAGAGUCCGGAAGAGGAGAGUGGAAUUCCUGGUGUAGCGGUGAAAUGCGCAGAUAUCAGGAAGAACACCGAUGGCGAAAGCAGCUCUCUGGGACGGUACUGACGCUGAGGCGCGAAAGCGUGGGGAGCGAAC